UCCCAAUCCAAACCAUUCUAUGAUUCUAUGAAGGUGGAGAUGUUUCCAAAACAUGUGACCCUACCCAAAAUAAAUGGUGUAACAGAAGUGGGAAGGGGGAGCUGUGCAACAUGGGUCAGCAAGAUGAGAUGGUUAGAUCAUCCUCAGUUUGCAGCUUUCUUGAACGUCCUCCAGAGCUGCAGGAGUGGUGUCCAGGAGGAGAGCAAAUGGUUGAGAUCCCAGAAAAAGAUUUACCUAAGGUAAUUUUUGGUUAUUUUGAAGCUGGUCUAAUCGAAGCUGUUUGGUCAUUCUGCAGUCAAGACAGGGUAUCUCCACCGGCUUAAGAGAGGUUGGACAAAUCAUAUUGUGAGGAAACGUGUCUCCAGUGGUUGUAGAGUGGUGAAGCCUGAGCAGAGUCCUGUGUGUCUUUCUUGGCUGGAGGCAUAGUUUAUAACUUGCUAAUGUUAGGCUAGAUGAAUCCUACCUCUAUUUUUUAUUCUUGGCUCUGCCAACAACUUGGUAGAGGAUCAUAUGACUGCCCCGUGUAACAUCUGCUACACAACAGUGCAGGAGAGGAAAGUGCCUUGUUUCAUCAAGGAGCAAAACAGGAGUGGUGUCUACUACAUAUACUUAAAGGCAAGCAUGUACUGAUUUCCAGUGUGGGAAUAUCAGGACAGAGUACUUUGAGAUUCAUCAGUGUGGGAUGUUGGAUAACUUCAAUGUAUUAGUCUUACGGCAUUAUGUGUAUACUAACUCACCCUGCCUGACCUAAAGCACUCCUUGCUAAGUAGGACAUCACCUUGAGGAAGAUCUUACAGUUCCAGGGCUUUGUCAGCUCCACAGUGUUAUUUUCUCUAUUUCUUGAUUUACUUUCAGCACCUUGUAAUAUCAGGUCUAGUCUUACAUUAAAAAUGUGCUCUGUCAACAUUUUUCUACCCCAGGUGUGUCUGAAAGAGGUUUUUUUGUCCUUUUGAUCAUCAUUUGUAUGUUUUUUCUUCUUUCCUCGUUCUUCAACAUUACCAACUGCUCACCCCGGCGCUGACUUUAUUCUGGGAGAGCAACUGCGUGUCGACACAUUCUGUCCUGAAGGUGGGGAAAUUCGCGGUGCACGGUUCCAAGUGCACAGCCCAUUACUGUGUAUUAUAGAGAACUUCUCUGCGCUCUGAAAACUUGUUCUACCAGUUCAAAAAUGUCAGGUGGGGAAACUGAGUCAUGGAGAGAAGGGUUCACCUCUUGAGGAGGAUGGAAAAGGUGACACUGUGAUCCUGGCUGGUUGAACUCUGGCUGGGACACCCUUCCUCUGGAUUGCUACCUAUUCCUGAAAACCUGAGGCAUGAAGGCAUGAUUGUCACACUCUGCUCACCUCUUCUACCUGGCUUGUUCAUCCAGGCUCCAGGAAGGUCUUUCUGAAUCCCUUGUUCCCUCCAGAACCUCUUACCUAUCCACACAAACUCAUUUGGAUCUGAAAUUAAAACUUCCUAUGCAAGCCAGACCAGCCAGGCUUUCCCAAUCUGUGCUCUGCUGAAUGGUCCAGGUCCCAAAGCACAUCUGUAUUUCUUACAGGUAUAUUACUUAAAGCAGACCAGGGUCUCCUCUUGCUUCCAAAGAUCUUCCUAGAGAUCGAUACCAAGUCACCCAUCUUCACUAUUGGAUUGCAACUGGUCCUCCAGCGUAAUCACUGAGGAUCCAAAGACUCUUGGAGCUGCAAGGAAAGGAGGAGAAGAGACUUUAGACCCACGACUUGCAUGAGUUCAGGAGCACUUUCUCACACAUGCUGUUCAGAGAGCUGCCUCAUUAAACCAGGGGCUCAUUCCCUGCGGGAUAAUUGGAAGAAAACCAAGGAACUGGCCUAUCACAUUAAUCAGGAAUUGCUUCUAGAUGUGAGCUGUUAUUGCCCUCUGCUGACAGUUUGCUAUGUAGUGCCAUCACUUUAAAAAUGAAGCAUGUUGUGUUGUAACACAAACAAGGACUUCUGAGGAUCUGUACUAAACUAAAGGAACCUCGCUCAGACAGAGAUUUUCGGGGUUUAUUGCUUGAUUUUUUAAUGUCCUUUUUCAGUGUUGUAACUUACAUGUUGUAACCACAUCAGAAAUGGGUCCAGUCUAAGCUGUUGUACAAGGCACUGAGUGCACACACAGCAAGAGUCAAUUUUCCCCUGCAGAGCUUGUGGUCUAAAGAGACAAGACAGAUAAAGGGUAGUGGAAAAAGAAGAAUGAUCAGCUCCAUUUCACAUGUAGGCCACCGAGCUACCGAAAGAUCUAACUGAACCCACAAAAAGGCAGCUCUAUUGCCCUGCCUGGAAGCUGUAGUCAGAUGAAUUCAAAGCAGAAAUAAGCUGCAAGUUCUGACUACAAGAGGAACGGAUCACACUGUUGGCAUCUUCUUUUCCCUCUUUUUCUUCACAAGAAGCAUCACUCUGUGUCCACACCGAGAAUGAUUUGGGGCCAGGAAGUGGAGAAGAGCAGAGCAGAUUUGAAGACAACACAAACAUUUGUCAUACCCAUGAAUUAGACUGAAAGACCAUGAGCCUAGAAAAGCAGUGUUCCCAAAGAUUUGAACUCGGUUGUCCAGAGCUCUGUGCUUCCUCAGCUUCCAUGGAUUUGAACUGUGAAGGAGCUUGGUCUUUUACAGGGAAAGCCAAGCAUAAGUUUCAGUGGAUCUUGAGAAGCAGACAACAGAAGAGUAACAGUAUGUGCAUGUGUGCAGACAAACAAGUAUAGAAUGCUCUUGUGGCUGCAAAAACUCAAAGUCAACACCUCUUCUGAAAAACCCCCAACCUGGUACUUCUGGUUUUGUAUUUGAAAAGCUUCUGGAGAUGUGAUAUUCUGAACUGUCCCCAACUUGUAUGUGGAAGCUGCACGGUUCAGUUUUCCACUGGCAACAUGCUGAUAUUCUGCCCUGCAACUGCAAAAUUAAUAUGAAACUAUUGGCUGCUGAACUAUCAGCCCUUGGCUCCCUCCUGACGAAGGGACUAACCUGUCUUUCAGUCAUAUUGGCACUUACCUCUGUGACCAGCAUACCAAGAUGGAACCUGGGCAGAGCUGCCAGGGUUAGAGCUAAGUGCUGGAAAAGAACACUUGAUCACAAGUGAUUUGAAGGUGGUUAUCCCCUAGAUUUCUAGGAAAGACAUUGCCCAAAUCCUCAGCUGCAAGGAACACUGGCUGAAUUGAGGAACACGCCAUGACUGUACUCAUUGUAGGAGACAUGCACCCUGGCAUUCUAGCCCUUUUAUUCCCUGGAUGUCUCCAGGGAAAACAUAAUUUCAGCAGGAUCAGGUAUUAAAAUAGCAGAGCAGCAAAAAGCAAGGAAUCUGGAGCAACCAUCUGUGCUUUAGGUAGCAGAUGAGCAAUGCUGUCCUUCCUUGAACCAGUAUCAUUGCCUACUCCUAAUACCAGGCAAAGGGGUGGCACUUAAGAAGAACUGCUUACCUCUGCACACACUUCAAAUACUUGGGAAUGAUGCUUCACAUCAUCUUCACUUGCCAGUUCCUUUAAAUCAUGGCCGGAAGAAAACACAGGUCCUUCAGCUGCAAAGAAUUGCAGGAAAAGUCAAUCUGGAUUAAUCAAAAAAUCAGGGGUAGAGGAGUAUCAAUGCCCCAGGGGAAGGUAUGUCAAUGAGUUGUCAAUGGCCAAAAAGGCCAAAAAGAGUUCAAAGUAUUGCCUUCUGGGUUUUGUAAUGACUUUAAAUUGCAACAUUUAACCACAGAAACACCCAUAAGCAUUUUUUAAAGCCUAGUUUUACUUCCCUUCCAAGUUAAUUCUGUCAAAUAUAAGGAUUUUACACCUCUGAGUCCAGCUUCUUGUAAGGAUACCGUUCUAAACAGCUCCUUGGGACAAUGUAAAUGCAUCAGCUGGAGCAAGGAUGGAGUGCUCUGCUCUCACACAAAUACAGUUAGUGCCCAUUUAUUGUACCCAGCAUUAAUGAUUAAUUUCUGCUAAAUAAGCAUCAAGAUUUUUGUGUCACAGCGUUCAAGACCACAAUGAACACAAGAAAAAAGGUUGUUCUGCUGGAGGAGAGCCAGAAGGGUUGUGUUGGCGCAUUGUUUCCUCUACUCUAAAACUGUCAUCUAGAGAAUCCCAAAAAGCACAUCAGGGUUUGGGCAGCAAAAGAGGAGGUUCCUGCAGACCUGAGCUUUGGAUUUGCUUGUCUCCAAUGGCAGCUAAGAUCAUAACACCCUUUAUGGGUACACUACCUUUACAACAGUUUUCCUUUGGCAUGAGGGUAUCUGCCAUAAGAAUAAACCAAUUUGGUGCUUCUGAA
This is a long non-coding RNA of Strigops habroptila (Kakapo), 4239 nucleotides long. RefSeq lists it as uncharacterized. The transcript has 6 exons. The record is from RefSeq and is a predicted model, not a curated record. NCBI's taxonomy places the organism in Eukaryota, Metazoa, Chordata, Aves, Psittaciformes, Psittacidae.